AGGUGACAGGGCUGUCAGGCCGGGGUGCAGGCCGGCAGCCAGUGCUGGUGCCCGGCUCCCACGGACCGGCAUGGCUUGCAGGGAAGUCUUUUGGAUCAGGCACAGGACUCCAAAUUCUAUAGGGAUUGGAACAGGCACUGAAACACGGCAUCCUUCCUGGAUGGGAAAGAGCUGAGAGCCCCCGGGAGGCCUCCAGCCUGGCUGGCUUCACUCUGUUUUAUUCUGCUAGCUGAGUCUCACCUCUGUUAUGUGCUUCUGGGAAGAGGAGAGGUGAUAUGUGGCCAAAUCUGGUUACCCAAAGUUCCAAGACACGGCCCCUGUCAUCCAUUUGGACCAGGCUUUGGAGUUGAACAGACCUCAGCAUCAGGCAGAUUCCUUGAAGCCUCCGUUUCUCCAUAUAUAAAAUGGGAAUAAUGAGAAUAUCUGCCUCGUAGCUUGAAAUGAAUGUUAUAAACUCUGAAUGCGAAGCUAUGGGGGUGUGAAAGUUGCAGAUACCAGGAUGAAAUCACUUUUGUCAGAACCAGAAGAAUUAGAGCCGGGAAAUCACGAAGGAGGGGAACUCAUGCUUGCAUGUUUGAGAUAAGGACUGUCUCAAGGACUUUCUAAAAUAGCCCCCAAGAAAUUCCUUCUUCAGGACUGCAGCAAUUCAGGCAUUAUGGGGCCAGAUUUUAUGUCCGGAUUCCAUCAAUCCUGGCUUUUAUUUCCCUCCUUCUCAGUCUUGAGAGAGGGAAUAACUCAUGUUGAUGGCCAGGCUGCUCAGCGGAGGGGCUGCCGAGUCGCGGGUGCUGGCUGAGUCCCUGGUGGAGUCUGAGAAGCUACCACUAAAAGGCAGUCACUCGGGAUCCUUCCAGAAACUAGAAAGACUGUGGACUUUGGAACGAGAGGCUGUGCAUCCUUCCACCCACCCCAACACAUAUGCACGCAUGCACACCCCCCCACCCACAGAAUGUUAGUACUACUGAGUGUGACCAUUGACGUCUCCCCUAAAUGAGGCCUUACAGAGGCAAUUGUGUUGGCCCAGCAUAGAGGUCAGCAGACUACGGCCUCCCAGGCCGAAUCCAGCCCUCCCUCCUAUUUUUCUAAAUAAAGUUUUUAUUAGAUCACAGCCAUGCCCAUUUGUUUAUUUAUUGUCUAAAGCUGCUUUCAUGCUACAAUGGCAGAGUUGAGACGUUGAGACAGGCCCACAAAGCCUAAAGCUUAAAGCCCACAAAGUUUUUUGGCCCGGUGCAAAAGACCACAUAG
Molecule: long non-coding RNA, 1242 nt
Filed under: Homo sapiens (human)
Lineage: Eukaryota; Metazoa; Chordata; Mammalia; Primates; Hominidae
Description: HSALNT0002057
Source: RNAcentral